CGAAAGUUAUUAAGCACAAAAGAUGAAUUGCGUUUAUUUUGAUACACCCUGUAGACUAUAGUUAUAUGUGAUGCAAUUUUACGCCUUGUGAUUAUAUCUAAAAUUUACUAAAAAUUUUCCUUAUGAUCGAUUUUGUUCGAGGGACAGUGAAAGAACUAAGUCUUUUAUAGACCAAACAAUAGUCUGUCAAGAUAUGAUCAUUAUGAUGGUCUGGAAGCCUGCAAACUUCAAAGCUACAAAAUAGAAGACCUAGUGUUUGAUGUUGAACUGUAUCUUCAUAGAUUUGGUUAAACAGUCUUUUCAUGUAGCAAGAAUAUUUGAAAUUUAAAAUGUUCUUGGCUUUAUUUCGGUGUUGUGUAAGUUGUCUGUACAAAUGGAGGCCGGGUGUGCUCAUCGACCCAUAUAUGGUUCAGUGUACGACUGUUGACCAAGUCAGUAAUCAUUUGUAGCUACACACAGCAGCGAGGGGUAGUAUUGUGGUAAUGGGGACAGGAUAUUGCCUUUCCAAAUUGAAAAAAAAAAUAUUUGAUGAAAUAUCCCCCCACCUUACACCCCCUUUGCCAAUGUUAAGGGGGGUGCAUCCCCAUGGCAUAAAUACAUCCAGCAUG
Molecule: non-coding RNA, 608 nt
Organism: Paramuricea clavata
Lineage: Eukaryota; Metazoa; Cnidaria; Anthozoa; Malacalcyonacea; Plexauridae
Source: the annotation of a GenBank genome assembly